RNAcentral lists this ribosomal RNA (440 nucleotides) under uncultured bacterium. RNAcentral's name for it is "partial 16S ribosomal RNA". It matches the Rfam family "Bacterial small subunit ribosomal RNA", at positions 338 to 795 of the family's 1533-position model. The record is from RNAcentral.
CCUACGGGAGGCUGCAGUGGGGAAUAUUGCACAAUGGGGGAAACCCUGAUGCAGCGACGCCGCGUGAGUGAAGAAGUAUUUCGGUAUGUAAAGCUCUAUCAGCAGGGAAGAAAAUGACGGUACGUGACUAAGAAGCCCCGGCUAACUACGUGCCAGCAGCCGCGGCAAUACGUAGGGGGCAAGCGUUAUUCGGAUUUACUGGGGGUAAAGGGAGAGUAGACGGGGGCACAAGUCUGUAGUGAAAUGUCGGGGCUUAACCCCGGAACUGCUGUGGAAACUGUGCAGCUGGAGUGCAGGAGAGGUAGGUGGAAUUCGUGGUGUAGCGGUGAAAUGCGUAGAUAUUAGGAAGAACACCGGUGGCGAAGGCAGCUUACUGGACUGUAACUGACGUUGAGGCUCGAAAGCGUGGGGAGCAAACAGGAUUAGAUACCCGAGUAGUC